This 205-nucleotide long non-coding RNA is filed under the name Mytilus galloprovincialis (Mediterranean mussel). Lineage: Eukaryota; Metazoa; Mollusca; Bivalvia; Mytilida; Mytilidae. The record is from RNAcentral.
UGGGUGCAACAAACUAAAGUAAGAAAACUGAAACCAAUUUUGGGAUGUACAGAUGUAUGGACGUACCAAGAACAAGGGUAAACAUAAUGCCCCCUCCACAACUGGGGCAAACGUCUCACUUUGAAAGCAAAUAUCAUUUGACAGAGGCUGCUGUUAAUAUAAACUGCCCAUUUUAGGGUCAACAUGAAAAGAUAGCAUUUCAAAG